GAUCAUGGCUCAGGAUGAACGCUGGCGGCAUGCCUAAUACAUGCAAGUCGAACGGAAACCUCGGGUUCAGUGGCGAACGGGUGAGUAACACGUAGGUAACCUGGCCAUGUACCCGGGAUAAUUUCUGGAAACGGAAACUAAAACCGGACAGGCAGGGGCGAGGCAUCUUGCCCCUGUUAAAGGAGCCACAAAGCUCUGGACAUGGAUGGACCUGCGGUGCAUUAGCUAGUUGGCGGGGUAACGGCCCGACCAAGGCAGCGAUGCAUAGCCGACCUGAGAGGGCGAACGGCCACAUUGGGACUGAGACACGGCCCAAACUCCUACGGGAGGCAGCAGUAGGGAAUUUUCGUCAAUGGGGGGAACCCUGAACGAGCAAUGCCGCGUGUGUGAAGACGGUCUUUCCGGACUGUAAAGCACUGUUGUAAGAGAAAACGGCCAUGAUAGGAAAUGAUCAUGGAGUGAUGGUAUCUUACCAGAAAGUCACGGCUAACUACGUGCCAGCCGCCGC
This 508-nucleotide ribosomal RNA is filed under the name uncultured bacterium. RNAcentral describes it as "bacterial SSU rRNA". It matches the Rfam family "Bacterial small subunit ribosomal RNA", at positions 15 to 518 of the family's 1533-position model. The record is from RNAcentral.